AUAGUUAUUAUUGGAUGGCAUCAUUUGAUAGUUAAAACUGAGGUGGUAUAGGAUGGGCAUGCGUCUGAUUAGUUAGUUGGCGGGGUAAUGGCCCACCAAGACGAUGAUCAGUAGGGGGUUCUGAGAGGAAGAUCCCCCACACUGGCACUGAGAUACGGGCCAGACUCCUACGGGAGGCAGCAGUAGGGAAUAUUGGUCAAUGGAUGCAAGUCUGAACCAGCCAUGCCGCGUGCAGGAAGAAGGCCUUCUGGGUUGUAAACUGCUUUUGCCAGGGGAUAAAAUUUCCAUGCGUGGAAAACUGAAGGUACCUGGUGAAUAAGCCACGGCUAACUACGUG
Molecule: ribosomal RNA, 337 nt
Filed under: uncultured bacterium
Lineage: Bacteria
Description: bacterial SSU rRNA
Rfam family: Bacterial small subunit ribosomal RNA
Source: RNAcentral